Molecule: transfer RNA, 57 nt
Filed under: Pteropus alecto (black flying fox)
Lineage: Eukaryota; Metazoa; Chordata; Mammalia; Chiroptera; Pteropodidae
Rfam family: tRNA
About the family: Transfer RNA (tRNA) molecules are approximately 80 nucleotides in length.
Source: Rfam by way of RNAcentral
GGUUCCAUAGUGUAGUGGUUAACACGUCUGCUUUAAAUGCAGAAGGUCCUGGGUUCA